RNAcentral lists this ribosomal RNA (708 nucleotides) under uncultured bacterium. RNAcentral describes it as "bacterial SSU rRNA". It matches the Rfam family "Bacterial small subunit ribosomal RNA", at positions 71 to 764 of the family's 1533-position model. The record is from RNAcentral.
UGAUUGACGAUGGAUCACCAGUGAGUGGCGGACGGGUGAGUAACACGUAGGUAACCUGCCCCGUGAGCGGGGGAUAACAUUUGGAAACAGAUGCUAAUACCGCAUAACAACAAAAGCCACAUGGCUUUUGUUUGAAAGAUGGCUUUGGCUAUCACUCUGGGAUGGACCUGCGGUGCAUUAGCUAGUUGGUAAGGUAACGGCUUACCAAGGCGAUGAUGCAUAGCCGAGUUGAGAGACUGAUCGGCCACAAUGGAACUGAGACACGGUCCAUACUCCUACGGGAGGCAGCAGUAGGGAAUCUUCCACAAUGGGCGCAAGCCUGAUGGAGCAACACCGCGUGAGUGAAGAAGGGUUUCGGCUCGUAAAGCUCUGUUGUUGGAGAAGAACGUGCGUGAGAGUAACUGUUCACGCAGUGACGGUAUCCAACCAGAAAGUCACGGCUAACUACGUGCCAGCAGCCGCGGUAAUACGUAGGUGGCAAGCGUUAUCCGGAUUUAUUGGGCGUAAAGCGAGCGCAGGCGGUUGCUUAGGUCUGAUGUGAAAGCCUUCGGCUUAACCGAAGAAGUGCAUCGGAAACCGGGCGACUUGAGUGCAGAAGAGGACAGUGGAACUCCAUGUGUAGCGGUGGAAUGCGUAGAUAUAUGGAAGAACACCAGUGGCGAAGGCGGCUGUCUGGUCUGCAACUGACGCUGAGGCUCGAAAGCAUGG